GUAGGGGGCGAGCGUUGUCCGGAAUUAUUGGGCGUAAAGAGCGUGUAGGCGGCUUGGUAAGUCUGCUGUGAAACCCUGGGGCUCAACCCCGGGCGUGCAGUGGAUACUGCCAGGCUAGAGGGUGGUAGAGGCGAGUGGAAUUCCCGGUGUAGCGGUGAAAUGCGCAGAUAUCGGGAGGAACACCAGUAGCGAAGGCGGCUCGCUGGGCCAUUCCUGACGCUGAGACGCGAAAGCGUGGGGAGCAAACAGGAUUAGAUACCCUGGUAGUCCACGCCGUAAACGAUGGGCACUAGGUGUGGGGGGAGUCGAAUCCCUCUGCGCCGCAGCCAACGCGUUAAGUGCCCCGCCUGGGGAGUACGGCCGCAAGGCUA
This 371-nucleotide ribosomal RNA is filed under the name uncultured bacterium. RNAcentral describes it as "bacterial SSU rRNA". It matches the Rfam family "Bacterial small subunit ribosomal RNA", at positions 527 to 896 of the family's 1533-position model. The record is from RNAcentral.